This is a long non-coding RNA of Felis catus (domestic cat), 866 nucleotides long. RefSeq lists it as uncharacterized. NCBI's taxonomy places the organism in Eukaryota, Metazoa, Chordata, Mammalia, Carnivora, Felidae. The transcript has 2 exons. The record is from RefSeq and is a predicted model, not a curated record.
GAAAGAUGAAUGGCCUUUGCAGAAGGGCAAUGUGGGAUGCAUCCUAAGUCUUACACUGCAACUCAGAUGAUAUAGAAAAAAAGUUUACUUUCCUUUAGUCUUAUAAUCUAAUAUCGCUCCCAAAUCUCCAUUCACUGGUGACAAGGAGAAAAAAAUUAAUUAGUUUCAAUCUCAUUUAAACUUAAUCCAAUCUGACAUUUUAAAUAUACUCUUAGGAAGUAGUUGGUCUCUAUUGGAUAAAAAAAUGCUUGAUCACUAAGACAGCCUCUCCUUCCCCUGCUUCUGUCCCCAAAAAUAAGGUGGUGAGAAUGUAUGCUCCUAUAAUCUUCUGGCAUUGAGAAGAGACUCUAGCCUCAUGCUGCUUUUCCUUGUUGUGGUGGCUGCCACGUGCUGGUCUCUGGAGCACUGCCCUUUGUGCACCCAAUUGCUGAACAUUCUGCAGGAUACUGCUACUGAAAUGACUAGUUAAUAUGGAGUCUAGACUUUUGGCAGGAACAAUGUUCCUGAGCUAUUGAUGAUGUACCAAGAAUUCUUCUGGCUGCAGAACACUGAGCUUACUAUCACAUCUUCCACCUCAAAAGUUGGCCCAGCAGGUCCAGUUCAGAGUUGAGUCAACUCAGUCUGCUUCUGUAGGCAUAUGGCAGCCCCCUGGGCUUCAACUAAGCAUCCACAGCAAAUAAAAACUCAGAGCAUCUUUGUAAAGACCUUUAGCCUGAAGAGGUUAAGGAGGUUUGAAAAUCAGAAGGAGACGGACUGGAAGAAAACUGCCUGGUCACAUCACAUCAUACUGGUCUUGGAUUCUCACAGAAGCAUCCUUAGUUAUUGUUAAAAUCCGUUACUGUAAUUAAAAAUCUGACAUUUUGGAA